UCCGUAGGGGGCGAGCGUUGUCCGGAUUUAUUGGGCGUAAAGAGCUCGUAGGCGGCUGUUCGAGUCGGGUGUGAAAUCCUGAGGCUUAACCUUGGGUCUGCAUUCGAUACUGGGCGGCUUGAGUCUGGUAGGGGGAUCUGGAAUUCCUGGUGUAGCGGUGGAAUGCGCAGAUAUCAGGAGGAACACCAGCGGCGAAGGCGGCGCUCUGGGCUGGAACUGACGCUGAGGAGCGAAAGCGUGGGGAGCGAACAGG
This 253-nucleotide ribosomal RNA is filed under the name uncultured bacterium. Its description in RNAcentral is "partial 16S ribosomal RNA". It matches the Rfam family "Bacterial small subunit ribosomal RNA", at positions 524 to 776 of the family's 1533-position model. The record is from RNAcentral.